UACAGAGGUGCGAGCGUUGUCCGGAAUCAGCUAGGGCGUAAGGCGCGUAGGCGGCCUGAUAAGUAGGGGGUGAAGUCUGCGGCUCAACCGCAAGGCUGCCUUCGUAAACUGUCAGGCUGGAGCACGGUAGAGGCAGAUGGAAUUCCCGGUGUAGCGGUGGAAUGCGUAGAGAUCGGGAAGAACACCAGUGGCGAAGGCGGUCUGCUGGGCCGUUGCUGACGCUGAGGCGCGACAGCGUGGGGAGCAAACAGG
Molecule: ribosomal RNA, 252 nt
Filed under: uncultured bacterium
Lineage: Bacteria
Description: partial 16S ribosomal RNA
Rfam family: Bacterial small subunit ribosomal RNA
Source: RNAcentral